This 867-nucleotide long non-coding RNA is filed under the name Manihot esculenta (cassava). RNAcentral's name for it is "long non-coding RNA (MESC_LNC004964)". Lineage: Eukaryota; Viridiplantae; Streptophyta; Magnoliopsida; Malpighiales; Euphorbiaceae. The record is from RNAcentral.
CAACUGCAGAAUAUAUUGUUUUAGUUUGGCUUAAUUAAACUUUAAAAUGGAUAUAAAGAUCAAAAGGUUCAAUAAUUGCACAGCUCCUACACUUAUCCUCAUGCCCACAUAUAUACAAAUCUGGUUUUUUUUCGAAAGAAAAAAAAUACCAGAUUUGAAUUUCCAAUAUUAAGAAAGUCUCUCCAUCAAAAUAUCAGUUCAGCACUGCCACCACAUAUAAAGCUUACUCAAACAAAAGGGAUGCAGCAAACCUGAUUUCUCUACAAAAGUAAUUCAAAUCAGCAACAAUGUUGGAUUUGUGCAAGUUUUGGGUGAAAAGGCAGAGACAUGCUUUUCUUUUUAUGGAAAAUAAAUUACUGAUAUCUCAAUGCAAGUUUAAAACCAAAGAAAAUAUCUCAUUACAUAUCCUAAGUCCUAAUCUAAUCUGGAAAAGUUAAUGGUAUCAGUACUAGGAUAAAUCUCACUGACAGUUAUAUGUCCUAGAUAAUCAUUGGAUAGUCAGGGCAAAACUAAGCACAAAAGCAUAAAUAAAUGCAUGUUGGAACUGUACACAUAACUUUUAGCUUAAAUCAAUAAUUGUGAAGUCUUUUACAAAAAGUUUGACUUUCUCCCCCCAAAGGCAAGAAAAUAUGAAAAUGCCAAUUUAAACAAACAAAAAUAAAUAUACCUGGUUCCGACUCAGAGGCCGUUGCUCCCAAUUGCUAUUCCGUCUCAUUUUAUUCAAACCCACUCCCAAUAUUUUCUGAUUUGAAAGAAUGUAAAACAACAAUGGGUAGAACAAGAUUGCGAAUUAAACAAGCCUGAGUUCAAAUGCAUAAGAGAAUAUAUGAGUGACAGGAACUGCUGGUGGAAUUUUUAAUGUUUUAA